AUGUUUGCUGCUGUUGUUUCUGUUUUAAGAAGUAUAGCAAGUGAUCGUUUGGUCUCACAAUUUUCUAGAGGAGAUGUUGUUGGUGCUCUUAGGAUUCUCAUCUCAUUUGAUUUUGUGUUUAUUCUGCACCUAAUGGAAAAAAUCAUGAAGAUCACUGAUGUGUUGUGUGUAAGACUGCAAACUAAAUCUUUGGAUAUUUUGAAUGCUUUGGAUUGUGUGUCCAACACAAAGGUGCUGCUUGCUGACUUAAGAGAAAAUGGUUGGGAAUCUCUUCUUGAAGAGGUUAAUUCUUUUUGCCUGAAGCACGAGAUUGAUAUUCCGGAUUUUAAUCGCAAGUACGUUGAUGUGACCAAAUCCAGAAACAAGCAUGACAACACCACAACACUCCAUCACUACAAAAUGGAUGUAUUUAAUGUUGCCAUAGACCAACAAUUGACAGAGUUAGGUGAUCGUUUCAGUCUUCAAGCGACAGAGCUUUUAAGCCUUUGUGCAUCAUCGGAUCCAAGAAGUGACACAUUUGACAGAUCAAGAAUAUGCACGCUAGUUGAAAAAUUAUAUCCUGCAGAUUUUUCUUCUCAAGAAAGAGCUCAGUUGGAGUGUCAGCUACCACAUUUUCAACUUGACACAUGCAACCAUCAAGGGUUAUUACGAUUAGUAAUAACUCUCCCGGUGUCGACUGCAACAGCAGAGAGAGCAUUUUCAGCUAUGAAACUUGUCAAGACUCGUCUUCGAAGUACAAUGGGUGAUGAUUUUCUUCGACAUUGUAUGAUAAUCUACAUCAGGAAGGAUAUAGCGUCAAAGUUUAGUUCUGAUGAAAUUAUAGACAUAUUUGAUCUUCUUGGUUGUCGCAAAGGCAACUUCAACAAUAGAGAUGUAACUUCUUUGCAUUGUUUGAUUGACCGUAUGGUCUGUACCGAACCAUGA
RNAcentral lists this ribosomal RNA (924 nucleotides) under Triticum aestivum (bread wheat). RNAcentral's name for it is "partial small subunit ribosomal RNA". The record is from RNAcentral. Lineage: Eukaryota; Viridiplantae; Streptophyta; Magnoliopsida; Poales; Poaceae.